GUGCAAGAGCCUUCAAAUGCUUGUCCAUUAUCUUGCAACGGUAGAACUCGCGGUGGAAGAAAUGGCAGAUUGCUUUUUCACUUUUGGUAACUUCCCCCAGAAAUUCUCCUUCAGUUACCUCCCUAUACUCUCCGUGACCUUGUCUUUUUAAAACCUCUCGUUUUUCAGCUUCCCUCUUCAGAGAAGCAAUCCUGUCUGCAUGCAAUUUUUCCAACUCAGGGUCAUCCAUCAAUUCAUCAAGAUCAACAUCUUCAUUG
RNAcentral lists this unclassified non-coding RNA (257 nucleotides) under Hevea brasiliensis (rubber tree). Lineage: Eukaryota; Viridiplantae; Streptophyta; Magnoliopsida; Malpighiales; Euphorbiaceae. The record is from RNAcentral.